Molecule: ribosomal RNA, 138 nt
Filed under: uncultured eukaryote
Lineage: Eukaryota
Description: partial 18S ribosomal RNA
Rfam family: Eukaryotic small subunit ribosomal RNA
Source: RNAcentral
UGGUGGAGUGAUUUGUCUGGUUAAUUCCGUUAACGAACGAGACCCCGCCUGCUAAAUAGUCAUGUUAAUGCUUAGCAUUGACGUUGACUUCUUAGAGGGACUUUCGGUGACUAACCGAAGGAAGUUGGGGCAAUAACA